UACGAGAGGCCCAACCGUUAUUCGGAAUCACUGGGCUUAAAGAGUUCGUAGGCGGCGCAGAAAGUAGGGUGUGAAAGCCCUCGGCUCAACCGAGGAAUUGCGCUCUAAACUACUGCGCUCGAGGAACCUAGAGGUGAGCAGAACUGAUGGUGGAGCGGUGAAAUGCGUUGAUAUCAUCAGGAAUACCGGAGGCGAAGGCGGCUCACUGGGGGUUUUCUGACGCUGAGGAACGAAAGCCAGGGGAGCGAACGGG
Molecule: ribosomal RNA, 253 nt
Filed under: uncultured bacterium
Lineage: Bacteria
Description: partial 16S ribosomal RNA
Rfam family: Bacterial small subunit ribosomal RNA
Source: RNAcentral